This 368-nucleotide ribosomal RNA is filed under the name uncultured organism. RNAcentral describes it as "bacterial LSU rRNA". It matches the Rfam family "Bacterial large subunit ribosomal RNA", at positions 2099 to 2465 of the family's 2925-position model. The record is from RNAcentral.
CUUGACUGUAGCUUGGAAUUGGGUUUGGGCUCUUCUUGCGCAGCCUAGGUGGGAGGCGUUGACAAUUCCCUUCCGGGGGGAUUCGAGCCAUCAGUGAGAGACCACUCUGGAGGAGCUAGAAUUCUAAUGGCGAUCCUUGAAUCAGGACGCUUGACAGUUUCAGGCGGGCAGUUUGACUGGGGCGGUCGUCUCCUAAAAAGUAACGGAGACGUGCAAAGGUUCCCUCAGGCUGGACGGAAAUCAGCCGUAGAGUGUAAAGGCAGAAGGGAGCUUGACUGCAAGACCUACAAGUCGAGCAGGGGCGAAAGCCGGCCUUAGUGAUCCGACGGUACCGUGUGGAAGGGCCGUCGCUCAACGGAUAAAAGUUA